Molecule: non-coding RNA, 26 nt
Filed under: Mus musculus (house mouse)
Lineage: Eukaryota; Metazoa; Chordata; Mammalia; Rodentia; Muridae
Source: RNAcentral
UGCGAGAUACUCAGCGUGUGACCUGU